RNAcentral lists this transfer RNA (30 nucleotides) under Cercopithecus diana (Diana monkey). RNAcentral's name for it is "partial tRNA-His". The record is from RNAcentral. Lineage: Eukaryota; Metazoa; Chordata; Mammalia; Primates; Cercopithecidae.
ACUAUAGAAGCUCGCUGCUUCUUAUUUACC